Molecule: small RNA, 143 nt
Filed under: chicken gut metagenome
Description: Ribosomal protein L10 leader
Rfam family: Ribosomal protein L10 leader
About the family: This family is a putative r-protein leader autoregulatory structure found in B. subtilis and other low-GC Gram-positive bacteria. It is located in the 5' untranslated regions of mRNAs encoding ribosomal proteins L10 and L12 (rplJ-rplL).
Source: RNAcentral
AAACAAAGAUGCCGCAGACAGCAGGCGCGAAAAUUUCGCUCAAUUUCCUGCCGAGGUGUUAGGGUUUGAAAAAAGAUUACUCAAAGAUUUAUUCUUUUUUUAUGUCCUUUACGCCGUGCGGCGUAAAGGCUUUUUAAUUUCUU